Molecule: ribosomal RNA, 253 nt
Filed under: uncultured bacterium
Lineage: Bacteria
Also listed under: 1 other name
Description: partial 16S ribosomal RNA
Rfam family: Bacterial small subunit ribosomal RNA
Source: RNAcentral
UACAGAGGUCCCAAGCGUUGUUCGGAUUCACUGGGCGUAAAGGGUGUGUAGGAGGUCUUGAAAGUCGGGUGUGAAAGCCCACCGCUUAACGGUGGAACUGCAUUCGAUACUGCAGGACUAGAGGAUCGGAGGGGCAAGCGGAAUUCAUGGUGUAGCAGUGAAAUGCGUAGAUAUCAUGAGGAACACCGGUGGCGAAGGCGGCUUGCUGGAAGAUUCCUGACUCUGAAACACGAAAGCCAGGGGAGCAAACGGG